AGUGAACGCUGGCGGUAGGCCUGACACAUGCAAGUCGAACGGCAGCACAGUAAGAGCUUGCUCUUACGGGUGGCGAGUGGCGGACGGGUGAGGAAUACAUCGGAAUCUACUUUUUCGUGGGGGAUAACGUAGGGAAACUUACGCUAAUACCGCAUACGACCUACGGGUGAAAGCAGGGGAUCUUCGGAACUUGCGCGAUUGAAUGAGCCGAUGUCGGAUUAGCUAGUUGGCGGGGUAAAAGCCCACCAAGGCGACGAUCCGUAGCUGGUCUGGGAGGAUGAUCAGCCACACUGGAACUGAGACACGGUCCAGACUCCUACGGGAGGCAGCAGUGGGGAAUAUUGGACAAUGGGCGCAAGCCUGAUCCAGCCAUACCGCGUGGGUGAAGAAGGCCUUCGGGUUGUAAAGCCCUUUUGUUGGGAAAGAAAAGCAGCAGGUUAAUACCCCGCUGUUCUGACGGUACCCAAAGAAUAAGCACCGGCUAACUUCGUG
RNAcentral lists this ribosomal RNA (492 nucleotides) under uncultured bacterium. Its description in RNAcentral is "partial 16S ribosomal RNA". It matches the Rfam family "Bacterial small subunit ribosomal RNA", at positions 29 to 507 of the family's 1533-position model. The record is from RNAcentral.